UCCAACUCCAAGAUUUAUUAUAGACUUUGUGAUCUCCUAUCACGAGAAGUGAAAUUUAUAGGCUAUUUCAUACAGAAAUCUUCAGAAGAUCUCUUCUCAGGAAAAGUUAGUUCACAUCCCUUUCUUGGAGUCGAUGUUGUACAUCGCCUCGUUGUAGGUUUUGGGAUCAUCUCUAUGCUCUCUAUCUCCCAUGAGAAACUACAUUCUCUAUAUCAUCUAUUAAGGAUACCCAAGUACCUUUCGAGAGGAUUGAAGAUCCUACUAUGUGUAUG
Molecule: long non-coding RNA, 272 nt
Filed under: Elaeis guineensis (African oil palm)
Lineage: Eukaryota; Viridiplantae; Streptophyta; Magnoliopsida; Arecales; Arecaceae
Description: long non-coding RNA (EGUI_LNC053883)
Source: RNAcentral